RNAcentral lists this ribosomal RNA (433 nucleotides) under uncultured bacterium. RNAcentral's name for it is "partial 16S ribosomal RNA". It matches the Rfam family "Bacterial small subunit ribosomal RNA", at positions 29 to 507 of the family's 1533-position model. The record is from RNAcentral.
AACGAACGCUGGCGGCAUGCCUAACACAUGCAAGUCGAACGAGACCUUCGGGUCUAGUGGCGCACGGGUGCGUAACGCGUGGGAACCUGCCCUUAGGUUCGGAAUAACUCCCCGAAAGGGGUGCUAAUACCGGAUAAUGUCUUCGGACCAAAGAUUUAUCGCCUUUGGAUGGGCCCGCGUUGGAUUAGCUAGUUGGUAGGGUAAAAGCCUACCAAGGCGACGAUCCAUAGCUGGUCUGAGAGGAUGAUCAGCCACACUGGGACUGAGACACGGCCCAGACUCCUACGGGAAGCAGCAGUGGGGAAUAUUGGAAAAUGGGGGGAGGCAUGAUGCAGCAAUGCCGGGUGAGUGAUGAAGGCCUUAGAGUUGUAAAGCUCUUUUACCCGGGAUGAUAAUGACAGUACCGAGAGAAUAAGCUACGGCUAACUCCGUG